CCUACGGGAGGCAGCAGUGGGGAAUAUUGGGCAAUGGGCGCAAGCCUGACCCAGCAACGCCGCGUGAAGGAAGAAGGCUUUCGGGUUGUAAACUUCUUUUGUCAGGGACGAAGCAAGUGACGGUACCUGACGAAUAAGCCACGGCUAACUACGUGCCAGCAGCCGCGGUAAUACGUAGGUGGCAAUCGUUAUCCGGAUUUAUUUGGUGUAAAGGGCGUGUAGGCGGGAAUGCAAGUCAGAUGUGAAAACUAUGGGCUCAACCCAUAACCUGCAUUUGAAACUGUAUUUCUUGAGUGCUGGAGAGGCAAUCGGAAUUCCGUGUGUAGCGGUGAAAUGCGUAGAUAUACGGAGGAACACCAGUGGCGAAGGCGGAUUGCUGGACAGUAACUGACGCUGAGGCGCGAAAGCGUGGGGAGCAAACAGGAUUAGAUACCCUUGUAGUC
This 443-nucleotide ribosomal RNA is filed under the name uncultured bacterium. Its description in RNAcentral is "partial 16S ribosomal RNA". It matches the Rfam family "Bacterial small subunit ribosomal RNA", at positions 338 to 795 of the family's 1533-position model. The record is from RNAcentral.